CUUUUCCCUGUUGCUUUCUCUGACAGAUUUGUAGGUGGAUGGAUGGCAAAACCAACUGCAGCAUGCUACCUUUAUAAUGCAAAAGGGCCAAGGGCCAUUUGAAAGGUGGCUAAGGUCACAACAUGUAACGUGUUGCUCAGCAACACCUUGGAGCCAAGGAGUCUCUCAUGCUGUGACUCAGCUCCUCCCAGAUUGAAUUGACCACAACUGCUUAAAGUUCUUGUUUUGCUUUCAGUGCUGAUGCUGGAGAAAAAAAAAAAAAUCAACUCACAUAUGUUCAGCUCCUUCUAUUGCACAUACAGGGGAAUUGGGAAUAUUUGUGCAGUAGAGUCAUCAUUUUUCUCCAAACAACAAAAGAAUAUUUAUUCAGCCUUUGGGCAUAAUAUAAUCUAAAGAGGGGCAAGUGAGAUUUCAAAAGUCUGAGAGCAUUAAAUGCUGCACCAGAACCGAGGAAGAAGCUGUUUGUCAUCAGUCUCUGCAGGAUGCUGCCAUUAUGUCUAGUAACAUUGGCAUAUUUAUCACACUUGGUAAAUUCCUCCUGUCACCACUGGAUGCUGUUCACCUUCAUUUUAAUAUGUUCUUUCCGCUUUGCUCUAAAUAAACAAAACAGCAAUUUUGUGAUGUCUGCUUUUCGUGUUAAGACACAAAUGCCCCAACUACCCCUCUGUAGAUAUGGCUGGGAUACCAUUUCCAAAAAUACCACUGUUUAUCACAAGGAUUACCACUUUCCAGUAAGCAUUUUUUCAAAGUUGAGGCAGGCAGUUUGAUCUAAUUGGCAUUACUGAUCUAAAAUAUUUAGUGAAAUAGCAAAUCAAAAGGUUCUUUAUUAGAUGGUCUGGAUUUACUUGUUUUCCAAUGUAAUCAUUAACUGGGGAGGUAAGAUUUACAGAGAAGUCUUGAAACUAAUGGAAACAACAUCUACUGUGGAUGGGCUAAACAGUUAGGACUCUCUGAUGAGUUGCCUGAGUUCCCUCUACCUUCUUCCUAUGUGUAUUCUGUUAAGUGGUCCUUAUAGUUGAGACAUACCAGUUUAUUUUAGACCACGUAGAUCAGACCUAAUGUUACCGUGUUCAGUGAAGAUUCAGCUGAUAAACAUUUGCUUGUGAUUUCAUUCCCCUCAUAAAUGUAUUCUCUUGGGGAGGAUCUCCUACAAUUUAUUGAGGAAAAAAUAAUGGGAUAUCUGUACCUGAUGAAGGGGUGAGGGAACAAUUUGUGAUAUUUGCUGCAGGGAGCCCAUCUGCUCUCAAGUUUGGGUUCCUCAGUGAGCUGCAGCAUGAAAAACAGCUUUGCUGCUCAAGGUUUUCUUCGUAGCUGAGGUUCACACACUAGCUCAAGUAGAUAGUGCCUGAAGGGAUGUAUACAAUAUCUCUCUGAGUCCUACCAGCACAACUACGCUGGCACACCUUUGAUUUGGUCUUGCUUUUGGCUUCUGAUUCUUGGUGUCAAUCUUCCAAGCCUUGGAUACUCUUUUCAAGUCCUGGUCACUUGUUACAAGCAUCUUAUAGUAGAUAGUUGUAGUAACUUACACACAAAACUGACAUCGGAAACACAUUUCUUAUGAAUAUGCUUGGGGAAAAAAAGACACAACAACAAUGGUUUUUAGACUUCUGCUUAAAAUAGAGACUAGAUUUUCUCUGAAAUUCAAAAAAAAAAAGACGGAUUAAGGUCUCUUCUUUCACACUUGUCCUGCCACUUAGUACAUAUCCUCAUUAUCCUCAUGUGCCCUUACAUUUUCUGGUGUUGAUCAAAAGCAGAAGUACAAUACUGAUCCAUUGAAAUAAACAUUUCUCUGAAACCGUUUUCCCCAUCUUAAUACAAAUAAGGAAGUACCAGAAAUUUCAUUUGAAAGCCGACAGUUGCAAAAUUUCUAACAAUUUUGCAGACAAAGGAGAUUAAAAUACAGAAGUUACAGAUGAAGAGCUAUUGUUUGGGUGCUUAUUCAAGCAUGGGGCUUGUCAACAUAUCAAAUCCUAGAUAGUGUAUUGUAAUGCUUAGGGUUUUGGAUGUUCAACUUAGCCCCAACAAGAUUUUCCAAAGUGACAAUUCAAAUUGCUGAUUGUUUUUAACAAUCUUUGGGUGGUUAUCUCUCAUCUUCAUAAUAUAUGAAUAUAUGGAAUAAUUGCUAGUCAUUCAAGUGUGAUAACUGUGAAAACAAUGAUUCAGAAUCACCAAGAUAUGAAAGAAAAGGUGGUCAAUAGUUUCACAAUUCAGAACCAUUUUAACUUAUUGCUGCUAGCAUUUCUGUUAACCAGAGAAUUCUGUUAACCAGAGAAGAUAGUUAUACUGAAGUGCUAAGGAGCAACAGAUACACAUGUAUCCUCUGUGGAUCUUUGCUAACUUGUCUUCUCUGGUGUCAUUUCUGUGCUGGGGGAUAGGGCUGUGAAAGUUGCUGCUAGGCAUGAACAGCUCUAGUCAGGUUAGUCUUCAUAUAUACUAGUGUAAAUGAUUCUUGAAUUAGGUCUUUCAUGUCAAAGACCAGGUUAGCUGAGAAAGGAAGGAAUAAUGACACAACCCACAGCUUGUUGUAAUGAGUUUUUCCUGACAGAUUCUGUCUUCAUACACCCCUAAUAUUAUUUCAGUCUACAAAUGCUACAUAUUGUUACCUUCAUACCAUAGCAAAUGUGGAAAAUGCCUUACCAACAUGAGAAAAAACACAGAACUUGUGAAGAAGGCCGACUGUAUAAGAGGCAAAACAGAGGACAAACUAAAAACUCCACAAAAAGGAAGGAAUGCAUCAGGAAGUCAUUCCUAAGGCAAGAGGGAAAUAAAAGAAGAUGGAAAGGAAAGAUUGAUCCAGCUACAAUACAAAAAGAAAGGAUAAAUAAUGAUAUAUAUAUAAAAAAGAUGGAGCCAUCACACUAUCUCUUAAUAACUUUUUGACUGGGAAUAUCUGAUCUGUAAAGAAAAAACAAUAUCUGCUCAGAUAUGGGGUUGGUUAGCAUGUUUAGUGCUAAAUGACCCACAUGCAUAGUCAGUGAUGUUACUGUCCAGUUGAAUAAGAAAUUAUCUGCUGGCCUUCAGCCUCACCAGAUAAUUAGGUCUCUUCCAGUGUACACUAUUCCCAUUUCUUAAUGAGUUGCUGUGGGUGUUGUAGAUACAGACCCUGGCAAGGUAGUGGCAGCCCCUUGUGUGGGGUGGAAACCAUAGCUGCACAUCUUUGGUAUUGGGAUUGCUAGGAAUCUGGCUUUGAGGAAACUUGGACUGGUCCCAUCUCUGCGGAGUUACAUCCUUCCUGGUGUUACGUGAAAGAUGAGGAUGAGCUCUGAAGCUCACAGAAUUAAAUAGAAUUUUGUUCCUUAUGGACAGAAUUUAAAGGCAAAGUCAUCUAUAUGCCAUACCUGGAUACUAGGUGAGUAAACACUUUUGCUGAUCAUUAUGAAAGGAGCUGAACCAGUGAAGAAUCUGAGUUGCUGAAAAUUUGUUUAUCAUCCAUUGGGUUGGUGGUACUAGGCAAUGGGUGAAAGAAAGCUUGUUUGUCUUAUCUACAUUAUAUAGCCUCCUUUGCUGCCAGUAAUAAUCCCAUGGAGCUUGGUUUGAAGGAUAUUGUUAAUGGCACCCAGACAGAGAUGACUGCACUCGGUAUUUCUGAUGUUUCUAUUUCCUCACUAACAGUCUUCUAAUCAAACAGCUGUGUAGAGAAGAAGGGAAGAGAGAUCACAUUUCAUUAACAUUGGCUUUGACAGACUUGGAGCUAGAGCCAGAGCUAAAAUGGUACAUGUCACCGAUCUAAGAGAAGUCAAGAGAUGGGUGACGUUAGUUGUCUUACUGAUAACAAAAUGCUUGAACAAGAGGUAUUACUACUUGCUGAAUUACACAAGAAAGGAUACAGGACACAUUCUUGCUCCCAGUCCCUGUUUAGUAAACAAACCUGUUUUCAUC
Long non-coding RNA from Anas platyrhynchos (mallard), 3879 nucleotides. RefSeq lists it as uncharacterized. The record is from RefSeq and is a predicted model, not a curated record. NCBI's taxonomy places the organism in Eukaryota, Metazoa, Chordata, Aves, Anseriformes, Anatidae.